RNAcentral lists this ribosomal RNA (845 nucleotides) under Citrobacter portucalensis. RNAcentral's name for it is "partial 23S ribosomal RNA". It matches the Rfam family "Bacterial large subunit ribosomal RNA", at positions 1 to 888 of the family's 2925-position model. Lineage: Bacteria; Pseudomonadati; Pseudomonadota; Gammaproteobacteria; Enterobacterales; Enterobacteriaceae. The record is from RNAcentral.
GGUUAAGCGACUAAGCGUACACGGUGGAUGCCCUGGCAGUCAGAGGCGAUGAAGGACGUGCUAAUCUGCGAUAAGCGUCGGUAAGGUGAUAUGAACCGUUAUAACCGGCGAUUUCCGAAUGGGGAAACCCAGUGUGAUUCGUCACACUAUCAUUACGUGAAUACAUAGCGUAAUGAAGCGAACCGGGGGAACUGAAACAUCUAAGUACCCCGAGGAAAAGAAAUCAACCGAGAUUCCCCCAGUAGCGGCGAGCGAACGGGGAGCAGCCCAGAGUCUGAAUCAGCAUGUGUGUUAGUGGAAGCGUCUGGAAAGUCGCACGAUACAGGGUGAAAGUCCCGUACACAAAAGUGCAUGUGUUGUGAACUCGAAGAGUAGGGCGGGACACGUGGUAUCCUGUCUGAAUAUGGGGGGACCAUCCUCCAAGGCUAAAUACUCCUGACUGACCGAUAGUGAACCAGUACCGUGAGGGAAAGGCGAAAAGAACCCCGGCGAGGGGAGUGAAAAAGAACCUGAAACCGUGUACGUACAAGCAGUGGGAGCACCCUUUGGGGUGUGACUGCGUACCUUUUGUAUAAUGGGUCAGCGACUUAUAUUCUGUAGCAAGGUUAACCGAAUAGGGGAGCCGAAGGGAAACCGAGUCUUAACUGGGCGUUAAGUUGCAGGGUAUAGACCCGAAACCCGGUGAUCUAGCCAUGGGCAGGUUGAAGGUUGGGUAACACUAACUGGAGGACCGAACCGACUAAUGUUGAAAAAUUAGCGGAUGACUUGUGGCUGGGGGUGAAAGGCCAAUCAAACCGGGAGAUAGCUGGUUCUCCCCGAAAGCUAUUUAGGUAGCGCCUCGUGAA